AAUGCCCCUUGAGGCGUUGCAGCCCAACUGUUGUGUUGCAGCUGUGUCAUAAGGUGGCAGAGAGAGAACGGUGGUAGUCUGCACUGGGACUCUACAACACAUAGAGGACUAGAGUGAUACUCUCACCAACAAU
Centropristis striata (black sea bass) is the source of this 133-nucleotide small nucleolar RNA. RefSeq annotates it as small nucleolar RNA SNORA17. The record is from RefSeq and is a predicted model, not a curated record. Lineage: Eukaryota; Metazoa; Chordata; Actinopteri; Perciformes; Serranidae. The transcript has a single exon.